This is a non-coding RNA of Oreochromis aureus, 1764 nucleotides long. The record is from the annotation of a RefSeq genome assembly. Lineage: Eukaryota; Metazoa; Chordata; Actinopteri; Cichliformes; Cichlidae.
UUUUUGGGGGGAAAAAUACUAAAGUUAUAAUGAAAAUAGAUAUAUGUUCUUUUCUGAUUCCACGAAUUUAACUAACUGCAGCUUGGAAAGAAUACGUUUUCAAUUUAUCCUUUAUUAUUAGCAACAUAUACAAAAAAUAAAAUUGAUUAUUUUUUCAUCAGACACGUAUCAUUAAAACUACAUGUUGUGCAAAGUAAAAGUUUUUGGUACUUAAAGUCAACGAUGAGUUUGGUUCUUCCGCCAAAAGUGUACCACAGUGAUACAAACUCAGUAAGCGGCCGUACAAAAACCUCCUGCACUCAGAACAAGCAUCUAAGCACUUAGAAAAUGUCUGCUACCCCAAUACUUAAGCUAAACAGCUAAAUUCAUGCUAGUUUUUAAUCUAAAAUGCUUUAAAAAGGACAAAAUAAUUUUCCUACAAAUAAAGAUAAUAUCUUGACUAUCUACAAACCGGAAAGAGAAACAAUUACUGUCUUUGUAACAGAGUAUUUAACAAAAUGCUCCUCGAUAAUGACUACUAACAAAGCCAAUUUAAAGUAUGGUUAAAAAUAUCACUAUUUUCUAUACUUUACAUUUCAUACUAAUCACACUCAAAAUAAAACGUAUCAUUUGCAGCCAUGGACACAUCAGUUGCACUCCCAGUGUAAAUAUUUUCUUCGGUUGUUCCACAUUGCCCUCAGUAUGUUGAGAGCAGAGAAAUCAUUUCCAUAGAGAGGAGGCUUUGCAUCAUCAGCUGAUCCUCCAGAGAACUGAGAAGGUUUAUAGUCCUGUGAGUUCAACACUGCAGGACUCACAUCUGUCAGUCAACACAGCAGAAAGCACAACCACCAUGACUCUCAUCACCAUCCUCAUCUGGACGCUGACCUGCUGCUGUUUUACAGGAUGCAGCGGUCAGGUGACUGUGACUCAACCUCCAGUUCUGACAACUACUCCUGGAUCCACUGUCACUCUGACCUGUAGGACCAGCCAAGCUGUUGCUAGCUGUGGUGAUGGUCAGUGUAUGUUCUGGUAUCAACAGAAAACUGGACAGACCACAAAGCUCCUAAUUCGACAUGUGAGCAUAAGACAUUCAGGAACACCAUCUCGAUUUAGGGGCAGUGGAAGCAGCUCUGACUUCUCUAUGACCAUCAGUGGAGUUCAGGCUGAAGAUGCAGCAGUUUACUACUGUAAGAGUGUGCAUGUAAUAAACAGUGCUGAUGUGUGGACUUUUGGUGGAGGAACCAAACUCAUCGUUGGCUCGGGUGUGGUGAGGCCCACCCUCAGUGUCCUCCCUCCAUCCAAAGAUGAAGACAAACAGAGUAGUGCCACUGUGGUGUGUUUGGCCACCGGGGGCUUCCCCUCAAACUGGAAUUUGGGCUGGAAGGUGGGGGGCACCAGCACAUCCUCAGGGGUGUCAACCAGCCUGGAGGUCUUGGGGACAGACGGCCGCUACAGCUGGAGCAGCACCCUGAGCCUCUCUGCAGACCAGUGGAGGAAGGCGGGCUCAGUGAGCUGUGAGGCCAGCCUGAGUGGACAGAGCCCCGUCACUCAAACCCUGGACCCUGACCAGUGCUCAGAGUAGAGCUUCAGCAACACUUCCUGUCUGCAUAUGAUGUGUUUUAUAAGUUUGAUGAAGCUACACGUUUCUGCUGUCGCGAUAUUUCUGCAAACAUUUGACUCUCUAUUGAUGUGCAUGCUAAGUAUAUCAGUUAAAAUUGUCCAAGUUGUUUUUUAAAACCAUUGUUUAAAAAAAAGUAAAAAUCACAAAAUAAAAUCACAGCUUAA